Molecule: ribosomal RNA, 326 nt
Filed under: uncultured bacterium
Lineage: Bacteria
Description: bacterial SSU rRNA
Rfam family: Bacterial small subunit ribosomal RNA
Source: RNAcentral
AGGGUUUGAUUCUGGCUCAGAGUGAACGCUGGCGGCGUGCCUAAUACAUGCAAGUCGAACGAACGAAUAAGAGCUUGCUCUUAUAAGUUAGUGGCGCACGGGUGAGUAAUAUAUAGCUAAUCUGCCUCUUAGUAGAGGAUAACAGUCGGAAACGAUUGCUAAUACUCUAUACUUCUGCUUUACAUAAGUAAAGUAGAGAAAGUUUUUCGCUAAGAGAUGAGGCUAUACUGUAUCAGCUAGUUGGUAAGGUAACGGCUUACCAAGGCUAUGACGCAUAACUGGUCUGAGAGGAUGAUCAGUCACAUUGGAACUGAGACACGGUCCAA